Molecule: ribosomal RNA, 601 nt
Filed under: uncultured bacterium
Lineage: Bacteria
Description: bacterial SSU rRNA
Rfam family: Bacterial small subunit ribosomal RNA
Source: RNAcentral
CCUACGGGAGGCAGCAGUGGGGAAUUUUCCGCAAUGGGCGAAAGCCUGACGGAGCAACGCCGCGUGAGGGAUGAAGGCCUCUGGGCUGUAAACCUCUUUUAUCAAGGAAGAAGAUCUGACGGUACUUGAUGAAUAAGCCACGGCUAAUUCCGUGCCAGCAGCCGCGGUAAUACGGGAGUGGCAAGCGUUAUCCGGAAUUAUUGGGCGUAAAGCGUCCGCAGGCGGUCUUGUAAGUCUGUCGUUAAAGCGUGGAGCUUAACUCCAUUUCGGCGGUGGAAACUACAAGACUAGAGUGUGGUAGGGGCAGAGGGAAUUCCCGGUGUAGCGGUGAAAUGCGUAGAUAUCGGGAAGAACACCAGUGGCGAAGGCGCUCUGCUGGGCCAUAACUGACGCUCAUGGACGAAAGCUAGGGGAGCGAAAGGGAUUAGAUACCCCUGUAGUCCUAGCCGUAAACGAUGAACACUAGGUGUCGGGGGAAUCGACCCCCUCGGUGUCGUAGCUAACGCGUUAAGUGUUCCGCCUGGGGAGUACGCACGCAGUGUGAACUACAANAGAAUUAGACGGCGUGAGACGUGCCGACGGACGACGACGAGGGAGUAGG